UCAGACGAUGCGUCAUGCAUAUCAAUAAGCGGAGGAAAAGAAACUAACAAGGAUUCCCCUAGUAACGGCGGGUGAAGCGGGAAGAGCUCAAAUUUGAAAUCUUAAAGGGUUUCCCUUUACGAAUUGUAGUUUAAAGAAGUGUUUUCUGUUGAGGUUUUGGUAAAAGUUCUUUGGAAUAGGACAUCAUAGAGGGUGAGAAUCCCGUAUUUGACCUUUACUUUCAACUUUGUGAUACACUUUCAAAGAGUCGGAUUGUUUGGGAAUGCAGUCCAAAAUGGGUGGUAAAUUUCAUCUAAAGCUAAAUAUUGGCGAGAGACCGAUAGCGAACAAGUACCGUGAGGGAAAGAUGAAAAGAACUUUGAAAAGAGAGUUAAACAGUACGUGAAAUUGUCAAAAGGGAAGCGUUUGACACCAGUGUUGUUUUCUCGAAAAUCAAUUAAAGAACUGUUUAUGCUAAGUUGUUUAGACUUUAUCAGCUAUACUGUUUAGUUUUGAGCUUUUCUUUAAUGCACUUUUCAGUUAACAAGUCAACAUCAAUUUCUUUUGCUGUAAAAAAGCUUGAGGAAGGUGGCUUGAGAUUCGUCUUAAGUGUUUAUAGCCUCUUGCCUAUGCAGUCGGAGAGAUUGAGGUCUGCAGGCGUAGAUCCUUCGGGGCUAAAUGCAUUUGUGCUAAGUUAUAGCAUUUUAUAGACAACUUGUUGACUAUGAUUUGUCUUGUAGCUUACUCGCUUAUGUUAUUUUACCUACGCUUAGGAUGUUGAGCGCAUGUCUCUCUCU
RNAcentral lists this ribosomal RNA (776 nucleotides) under uncultured Neocallimastigales. RNAcentral describes it as "partial large subunit ribosomal RNA". It matches the Rfam family "Eukaryotic large subunit ribosomal RNA", at positions 18 to 637 of the family's 3401-position model. Lineage: Eukaryota; Fungi; Neocallimastigomycota; Neocallimastigomycetes; Neocallimastigales. The record is from RNAcentral.